UGGCGAGGUGACGAUCGAUGGGUUCUACGACGCGGUUCUGCCGUUAACCGAUCUGGAACGACAGGCGCUGGCAUCGUUGCCGGUCGAUGUCGGGGCGGUCAUGGAGUCGUUGGAUCUCACGCAGCUCGAUCAGCCACUUGAUCGGGGCUAUUUCGAGCGGCUGUCCGCCUGGCCGACGUUCACGAUCAAUGGCUUGCACGGGGGCUAUGGCGGUCCCGGCUCGAAAACGGUCCUACCGCAUGAGGCGGUCGUCAAGUGCGACAUGCGGCUGGUCGA
Molecule: unclassified non-coding RNA, 276 nt
Filed under: plant metagenome
Description: partial contains 5.8S ribosomal RNA, internal transcribed spacer 2, and large subunit ribosomal RNA
Source: RNAcentral